RNAcentral lists this ribosomal RNA (459 nucleotides) under uncultured bacterium. RNAcentral describes it as "partial 16S ribosomal RNA". It matches the Rfam family "Bacterial small subunit ribosomal RNA", at positions 338 to 795 of the family's 1533-position model. The record is from RNAcentral.
CCUACGGGCGGCAGCAGUGAGGAAUCUUGGUCAAUGGGCGCGAGCCUGAACCAGCCACGUAGCGUGAAGGAUGACUGCCCUACGGGUUGUAAACUUCUUUUAUAAAGGAAUAAAGUGAGGCCCGUGUGCCUUUUUGUAUGUACUUUAUGAAUAAGGAUCGGCUAACUCCGUGCCGUCAGCGGCGGUAAUACGAGGAUCCGAGCGUUAUCCGGAUUUAUUGGGUUUAAAGGGAGAGUAGAUGGGUUGUUACGUCAGUUGUGAAAGUUUGCGGAUCAACCGUAAAAUUGCAAUUGAGACUGGCAGCCUUGAGUACAGUUGAGGUAGGCGGAAUUCGUGGUGUAGCGGUGAAAUGCUUAGAUAUCACGAAGAACGCCGAUUGCGAAGGCAGCUUACUAAACUGCCACUGACAUUGAUGCUCGAAAGUGUGGGUAUCAAACAGGAUUAGAUACCCUGGUAGUC